CAGCAGCCACGGGAAUACGUAGGGUGCAAGCGUUGUCCGGAAUUAUUGGGCGUAAAGAGCUCGUAGGCGGUUUGUCGCGUCUGCUGUGAAAUCCCGAGGCUCAACCUCGGGCUUGCAGUGGGUACGGGCAGACUAGAGUGCGGUAGGGGAGAUUGGAAUUCCUGGUGUAGCGGUGGAAUGCGCAGAUAUCAGGAGGAACACCGAUGGCGAAGGCAGAUCUCUGGGCCGUAACUGACGCUGAGGAGCGAAAGCGUGGGGAGCGAACAGGAUUAGAUACCCCGUAGUCCCUGUCUCUUAUACA
This 301-nucleotide ribosomal RNA is filed under the name uncultured bacterium. RNAcentral describes it as "partial 16S ribosomal RNA". It matches the Rfam family "Bacterial small subunit ribosomal RNA", at positions 509 to 808 of the family's 1533-position model. The record is from RNAcentral.